UGACCCCGCGCGGGAGAGUCCUCCGGAGAGCGUUCCGGAGGCGCCGAAGGAGCAAAUCCUCCCCGGAAUCUCUCAGGCUCAGGUACCGCACGGGUGAG
This 98-nucleotide non-coding RNA is filed under the name Actinobacteria bacterium OK074. RNAcentral's name for it is "Glycine riboswitch aptamer". It matches the Rfam family "Glycine riboswitch aptamer". From Rfam's summary of the family: This family represents the bacterial glycine riboswitch. Glycine riboswitches usually consist of two metabolite-binding aptamers domains with similar structures in tandem. Lineage: Bacteria; Bacillati; Actinomycetota; Actinomycetes. The record is from Rfam by way of RNAcentral. RNAcentral also lists the same sequence under 1 other name.